Non-coding RNA from Pelobates cultripes (western spadefoot toad), 381 nucleotides. The record is from the annotation of a GenBank genome assembly. NCBI's taxonomy places the organism in Eukaryota, Metazoa, Chordata, Amphibia, Anura, Pelobatidae.
UUAUUUAUUAAUUGCAUCAAGGUUUCUUUUGUUAAUUGAUGUGUUUCUUCCGAAUUCAAAUUCAUAUGCCACCAAAUGUCAUUGUAAAGUUCAUUGUUGCAGAAUAUUGUUCCAGGAUGGUUUUUCUCUCCAGUAGGAAAUCUAUAUUCCUCUUCUUCUGAUCCUUCCUAUUAACCACUUUUUCUGAGUUGUAGUUAACAAUCUGUGUCUUGUACUGUGAGGUGCUCUGAUAGUCAAUCUGGUUUUGUCAGUACCAUGCUGCAUCUUGAAAAACAGCUGGGUGUUGGCAGUUAUCAGCCUAAUUUCUUUUUCCGGUCAUCUUCUGUCUGGAUAAUAGCAAUGUCCAGAAUUAGCAUAGCACUUCUUUUCAGCAUAAGAAGG